UCAAAGGAAUUGACGGGGGCCCGCACAAGCGGUGGAGCAUGUGGUUUAAUUCGAAGCAACGCGAAGAACCUUACCAGGUCUUGACAUCCUCUGACAAUCCUAGAGAUAGGACGUCCCCGUCGGGGGCAGAGUGACAGGUGGUGCAUGGUUGUCGUCAGCUCGUGUCGUGAGAUGUUGGGUUAAGUCCCGCAACGAGCGCAACCCUUGAUCUUAGUUGCCAGCAUUCAGUUGGGCACUCUAAGGUGACUGCCGGUGACAAACCGGAGGAAGGUGGGGAUGACGUCAAAUCAUCAUGCCCCUUAUGACCUGGGCU
This 313-nucleotide ribosomal RNA is filed under the name Bacillus velezensis. RNAcentral's name for it is "bacterial SSU rRNA". It matches the Rfam family "Bacterial small subunit ribosomal RNA", at positions 901 to 1215 of the family's 1533-position model. The record is from RNAcentral. Lineage: Bacteria; Bacillati; Bacillota; Bacilli; Caryophanales; Bacillaceae.